GACGAACGCUGGCGGCGUGCUUAACACAUGCAAGUCGAACGGAAAGGCCCUGCUUUUGUGGGGUGCUCGAGGGGCGAACGGGUGAGUAACACGUGAGUAACCUGCCCUUGACUGUGGGAUAACUUCAGGAAACUUGGUCUAAUACCGGAUAGGAGCUCCUGCUGCAUGGUGGGGGUUGGAAAGUUUCGGCGGUUGGGGAUGGACUCGCGCCUUAUGGGCUUGUUGGUGGGGUAGUGGAUUACCAAGGCUUUGACGGGUAGCCGGCCUGAGAGGGUGACCGGCCCCAUCGGGCCUGGGAUGCGGCACAGCCCCCUCCGCGACGCAGGGGUGCGGAAUAUUGCACUAUGCGCGGAAGCAUGAUGUGGCCCAGCAGCGUGCGGGAUGACGGCCUUCGGUUUGGAUACCGCUUUCGCCUGUGACGAAGCGUGAGUGACGGUAAUGGGUAAAGAAGCACCGGCUAACUACGUG
Molecule: ribosomal RNA, 468 nt
Filed under: uncultured bacterium
Lineage: Bacteria
Description: partial 16S ribosomal RNA
Rfam family: Bacterial small subunit ribosomal RNA
Source: RNAcentral